Molecule: small nuclear RNA, 105 nt
Organism: Ictidomys tridecemlineatus (thirteen-lined ground squirrel)
Lineage: Eukaryota; Metazoa; Chordata; Mammalia; Rodentia; Sciuridae
Source: Ensembl
GUGCUCACUUAGGCAGUGCAUGUACUAAAAUUGGAACAAUAUAGAGAAGAUUAGCAUGGUUCCUGUGCAGGAGCUUUUGCAAUUUGUAAAGCACUUCAUACUUUU